Molecule: non-coding RNA, 21 nt
Organism: Caenorhabditis elegans
Lineage: Eukaryota; Metazoa; Nematoda; Chromadorea; Rhabditida; Rhabditidae
Source: Ensembl
UUUCUUGAUUUUCUAUGAUUA